CCUACGGGAGGCAGCAGUGAGGAAUAUUGGUCAAUGGGCGCUAGCCUGAACCAGCCAAGUAGCGUGAAGGAUGACUGCCCUAUGGGUUGUAAACUUCUUUUAUAUGGGAAUAAAGUGCAGUAUGUAUACUGCUUUGCAUGUACCUUAUGAAUAAGGAUCGGCUAACUCCGUGCCAGCAGCCGCGGUAAUACGGAGGAUGCGAGCGUUAUCCGGAUUUAUUGGGUUUAAAGGGUGCGUAGGCGGGUUAUCAAGUCAGCGGUAAAAUCGUGGAGCUCAACUCCAUCCAGCCGUUGAAACUGAUGAUCUUGAGUGGGCGAGAAGUAUGCGGAAUGCGUGGUGUAGCGGUGAAAUGCAUAGAUAUCACGCAGAACUCCGAUUGCGAAGGCAGCAUACCGGCGCCCGACUGACGCUGAAGCACGAAAGCGUGGGUAUCGAACAGGAUUAGAUACCCGAGUAGUC
This 459-nucleotide ribosomal RNA is filed under the name uncultured bacterium. Its description in RNAcentral is "partial 16S ribosomal RNA". It matches the Rfam family "Bacterial small subunit ribosomal RNA", at positions 338 to 795 of the family's 1533-position model. The record is from RNAcentral.